UAUUAAGGUUGCACUAUA
This 18-nucleotide non-coding RNA is filed under the name Arabidopsis thaliana (thale cress). The record is from RNAcentral. Lineage: Eukaryota; Viridiplantae; Streptophyta; Magnoliopsida; Brassicales; Brassicaceae.